GACGAACGCUGGCGGCGUGCUUAACACAUGCAAGUCGAACGGAAAGGCCCUGCUUUUGUGGGGUGCUCGAGUGGCGAACGGGUGAGUAACACGUGAGUAACCUGCCCUUGACUUUGGGAUAACUUCAGGAAACUGGGGCUAAUACCGGAUAGGAGCUCCUGCUGCGUGGUGGGGGUUGGAAAGUUUCGGCGGUUGGGGAUGGACUCGCGGCUUAUCAGCUUGUUGGUGGGGUAGUGGCUUACCAAGGCUUUGACGGGUAGCCGGCCUGAGAGGGUGAACGGCCACAUUGGGACUGAGAUACGGCCCAGACUCCUACGGGAGGCAGCAGUGGGGAAUAUUGCACAAUGGGCGGAAGCCUGAUGCAGCAACGCCGCGUGCGGGAUGACGGCCUUCGGGUUGUAAACCGCUUUCGCCUGUGACGAAGCGUGAGUGACGGUAAUGGGUAAAGAAGCACCGGCUAACUACGUG
This 468-nucleotide ribosomal RNA is filed under the name uncultured bacterium. Its description in RNAcentral is "partial 16S ribosomal RNA". It matches the Rfam family "Bacterial small subunit ribosomal RNA", at positions 28 to 507 of the family's 1533-position model. The record is from RNAcentral.